RNAcentral lists this long non-coding RNA (661 nucleotides) under Equus caballus (horse). Its description in RNAcentral is "lncRNA (ENSECAG00000054148.1)". Lineage: Eukaryota; Metazoa; Chordata; Mammalia; Perissodactyla; Equidae. The record is from RNAcentral.
GUCUCAACAGUGUUGGAGGCGCAGGUUACAAACAGUCUCCUGAUGGAGAGAAGCAAAGAGCGGAUGAUGCCGGAGGCUGAGGAAUCUCAUUACUAAUAUCUGCCCAACAAGGAUCGCAGUUAGAUUUACGUGCUGAGAAAUCAAGUUAUCAUUGAUGUUCUAGGUGUUGCAGUGGUGCAGAAGCCCAGGGUCAGCACAUCUGGAAGACUCCUCUGGGCUUCUUUCUGAAUAGCGUGGUGCAGAGAUGUCCCUUGUCCAAGUUCACAUGAGGCCCCCGCAGCUGCUGCUCUUCUGCCACAGACUCUCAGGCCACUGCAACAUAGGAAUUAAAUGAGCAACAGAACUGCCUGAAAUCAGAAGGUUUCUGUGUAUCCUGUCCUGGGCUACAAACACUGCGUGGUGCUCCAGAAGUCCUGGCUCACUGUCAGCAGCAUCUCUGGUGGCAACAGCAAACCAGGGCUUCACAGCUUUAGAAAACACCAUCUUUCUAGACUGUGUUUCAUUUAUUUUUAAAGCUUCUGUAGUAAUCCUCUAAUUGCCUUAUGGAGAGUAGAUGCACUACUUUAUUUUUUUAAUUCUCUAUACGAGGGACUCGUAAUUGAGCAUUACUGUAAUAUUUAAAUAAAUAAUAACAGAUUUGACAAUCAUAAUCAUAAUCAUA